AGGCGCGAAAACUUUACAAUGCGGGAAACCGUGAUAAGGGAAUCUCGAGUGCCAGCAUAUAAUGUUGGCUGUCCAGAUGCCUAAAAAGCAUCUGUUAGCAAGGGCCGGGCAAGACCGGUGCCAGCCGCCGCGGUAACACCGGCGGCCCGAGUGGUAACCGCUAUUAUUGGGUCUAAAGGGUCUGUAGCCGGCCAGGUAAGUCCCUUGGGAAAUCUGGCAGCUCAACUGUCAGGCUGCUAGGGGAUACUGUUUGGCUUGGGACCGGGAGAGGUGAGAGGUACCUUGGGGGUAGGGGUGAAAUCUUGUGAUCCUCGGGGGACCACCAGUGGCGAAGGCGUCUCACCAGAACGGGUCCGACGGUAAGGGACGAAAGCUAGGGGCACGAACCGGAUUAGAUACCCGGGUAGUCCUAGCCGUAAACGAUGCUCGCUAGGUGUCAGUCACGGUGCGACCGUGAUUGGUGCCGUAGGGAAGCCGUGAAGCGAGCCACCUGGGAAGUAUGGCCGCAAGGCUGAAACUUAAAGGAAUUGGCGGGGGAGCACUACAACGGGUGGAGCCUGCGGUUUAAUUGGAUUCAACGCCGGAAAUCUCACCGGGGGCGACAGCAAUAUGAAGGUCAGGCUGAAGACCUUACCCGAUUAGCUGAGAGGUGGUGCAUGGCCGUCGUCAGUUCGUACUGUGAAGCAUA
Molecule: ribosomal RNA, 688 nt
Filed under: uncultured archaeon
Lineage: Archaea
Description: bacterial SSU rRNA
Rfam family: Archaeal small subunit ribosomal RNA
Source: RNAcentral